RNAcentral lists this unclassified non-coding RNA (231 nucleotides) under uncultured fungus. RNAcentral describes it as "sequence contains ITS1, 5.8S rRNA gene". The stretch from base 183 to 231 matches the Rfam family "5.8S ribosomal RNA", at positions 1 to 49 of the family's 154-position model. Lineage: Eukaryota; Fungi. The record is from RNAcentral.
UCUCCGUUGGUGAACCAGCGGAGGGAUCAUUACCGAGUUUACAACUCCCAAACCCCUGUGAACAUACCUCUAUGUUGCCUCGGCGGAUCAGCCCGCGCCCCGUAAAACGGGACGGCCCGCCGCAGGAACCACAAACUCUGUUAUCUUCGUUGAUUAUCUGAGUGUCUUAUUUAAUAAGUCAAAACUUUCAACAACGGAUCUCUUGGUUCUGGCAUCGAUGAAGAACGCAGC